AGUGUCCAUUUUUGUGUCAUAGUAGCUAGUCAGGUUUUUAGUUUUCGUAUGUUUCGUACGACUAUCCACCAACGCAACCGCGAAACCAAACCAAAUGCGGUGUCCAGGAAAAGAACUUUAUUAAAACUGACAAUUCAGCGCAAAGCUUUUAGCAGCAUACGAGGGACGGUGCAAGUUUAUAUCCCCUGAGGAAGGCCGAGUCCAAUGGCCGAAACGUCGGAAUUAAACAAGUAGCACUUGUCUUGAUUUUACGCUAGACUGAAAAGCCACCCGAAAACAGUUCAUUCUACAGUCGAACCUAAUUCAAAUCGUCCAUACCGCGAAAAUCGGGAGGCUACGGUGGGCGGGUCACGUCAUCAGGAUGUCGGAUAGCAACCCGACUAAAAUGGUUCUCGAGAGACAUCCGAUCGGUACAAGAAGACGUGGAGCGCAGCGAGCUAGGUGGGUCGACCAAGUGGAGGAUGAUCUGCGGACCCUACGCAGAGUGCGGAACUGGAGACAAACAGCCAUGGACCGAGUGGAAUGGAGGCGGCUACUAUGUACAGCAGAGGCCACCCCGGCCUUAGCCUGACCGGUAAGGUAA
This is a long non-coding RNA of Aedes albopictus (Asian tiger mosquito), 583 nucleotides long. RefSeq lists it as uncharacterized. The record is from RefSeq and is a predicted model, not a curated record. NCBI's taxonomy places the organism in Eukaryota, Metazoa, Arthropoda, Insecta, Diptera, Culicidae. The transcript has 3 exons.